AAUGUGUACACACACUUACUUCUAUCAAACCCGAUCACACGCACAGAUUAGACCGUCGGAGCGAAAACCACCGUUUCACUGUCUUCUCCUACACAAUAUGUUUAUAGAGAAUCAAAUUCCCUACAAUACCAUUACGCUACUACAAAAAAAGUGAAUCCAAACAACUUACCGAAACUGUUACGCAAAGACAAAAGUAACCAUUCUUACCCAAAUCACACGAAGAACACCAAAAUCUAAAGCGCAACGCAAAGAACAAAAGAAGUGUGGAUAGUCUUGAAGGAAAAAAAAAAAGAAAGAGAGAAGAAAGAAGUAGAGGAGAGACAAAAAGAUGAAAACGACAGAAAAAAAUGGAGGAGAGGCAGAAAUUGACGUUAGAUUUUUGGGAAGAGAGAAAAAUUAAAAAAAUAAAAAUAAAAAUAACCAAUUUGAUUUGUUUCCCAGUCCCCACUAACAACCACAUCCCAUAAUAUCCUCCCCACUAACCACAUCCAACUGCUUCAGACUCCCAACUCCACCGAACCUCUAACAGACAACCAGAACAAAAAUUAACACUCACGCUCGUGCAGGGAUUCGAACACAAGACCUCCAACAAGCUAACUCCUUC
This 604-nucleotide long non-coding RNA is filed under the name Gossypium raimondii (Peruvian cotton). RNAcentral's name for it is "long non-coding RNA (GRAI_LNC000435)". The record is from RNAcentral. Lineage: Eukaryota; Viridiplantae; Streptophyta; Magnoliopsida; Malvales; Malvaceae.